UGGAGAGUUUGAUCCUGGCUCAGGACGAACGCUGGCGGCGUGCUUAACACAUGCAAGUCGAGCGGAAAGGCCCCUUCGGGGGUACUCGAGCGGCGAACGGGUGAGUAACAC
Molecule: ribosomal RNA, 111 nt
Filed under: Actinomadura sp. KC06
Lineage: Bacteria; Bacillati; Actinomycetota; Actinomycetes; Streptosporangiales; Thermomonosporaceae
Description: partial 16S ribosomal RNA
Rfam family: Bacterial small subunit ribosomal RNA
Source: RNAcentral